This is a long non-coding RNA of Puntigrus tetrazona (Sumatra barb), 480 nucleotides long. RefSeq lists it as uncharacterized. The record is from RefSeq and is a predicted model, not a curated record. NCBI's taxonomy places the organism in Eukaryota, Metazoa, Chordata, Actinopteri, Cypriniformes, Cyprinidae. The transcript has 4 exons.
GGGAGCUCUCGCGAGAGGUUUACUGUCUUUGAGAGGAGCAUCACGCGCGAGGAGAGCAUCGCUUCAGCGUUUGGUUUAUCACCGUGAGACACACAGCACUCAGAAUGAACAGACUACAUCUUCAGCCGUUACGCUGUGGGUGAGCAGCUGGGCAAAGGUGGAUUUGGUGUGGUGUACGAAGGUACACGUCUGGAGGAUAAUCUUAAAGUGGCUUUGAAAUACGUCACAAAGACAGAGCACAUGGAAUGUAUAUCAAUUCCUGAUCAUCCAGACCCUCUCCCAAAAGAGAUUGCCCUCACUAUCAUGGCGAAUAAAGGUCACAGAGUGCCAGAAAUCAUCAGACUGCUGGACUGGACGGAUCACUCUGACCACUACGUCAUGGUCCUGGAAUGUCCCUCUCCCUGUGAGAAUCUGGUUGAGUUCAUCAGGCGUCACGGUGGAAGCUUGGACGAGGAGAAAACACGGCAGAUCAUGUGGCAG